Molecule: unclassified non-coding RNA, 4437 nt
Filed under: Mizuhopecten yessoensis (Yesso scallop)
Lineage: Eukaryota; Metazoa; Mollusca; Bivalvia; Pectinida; Pectinidae
Description: arsenite methyltransferase-like, transcript variant X1
Source: RNAcentral
UGGAGUGACACAGAAGAAAGGCAAACGCGGCACGGAAUGUGUUGAACUUUAGAAAAGCAGAAGGAUAUGUUACGUGUGUAUAGAUUAGAAAAUUGUCCCAAUUUAUCAGAAUUCUACACAGGCAAUAAGAUGACUUCUGCUACAGAUGGUACUGAGGUACACGACAGCGUGAAGGACUAUUAUGGGAAGAGAGUGAAGACAGUGGAUGAUCUUCAGACUCAGGCAUGUGUAGCCCCUGGAAGAAAGGUCACUAAACCUGUAAGAGAGGCCAUAGGACUUGUUCACGAAGUUGUUACCUCAAAGUACUAUGGAUGUGGGCUUGUAAUCCCAGAGAAGCUUGAAGGGAUGAAGAUUUUGGACCUUGGGAGCGGUAGCGGACGUGAUUGUUUUGCCCUCAGCAAGCUGGUUGGUCCCACAGGUCAUGUGACAGGCAUCGACAUGACGGAUGAACAGCUUGACGUGGCCCGCGAGUAUAUUGGAUAUCAUACCAAGAAGUUUGGUUACACUAAACCUAACAUCGACUUUGUAAAGGGUUACAUUGAAAGGCUCACGGAAGCAGGACUGCCAACGAACAACUACGACAUUAUCGUUUCCAACUGUGUGGUGAACCUGUCCCCUGACAAGAAGGCUGUCCUACAGGAGUCCUACAAUGUCCUCAAGGAAGGUGGUGAGCUUUUCUUCAGUGACGUUUAUGCAGAUCGGACUUUGGAAGAGUCUGUACGCAAACACAAAGUAUUAUGGGGUGAGUGCAUUGCUGGGGCCCUGUGGUGGAAGGAGGUACAUGACCUAGCUGCGGAGAUUGGCUUUAGUAAACCCUACAUGGUCAGUGUUUCACCCAUUCCUGUUGACCGGGACGACUUUAAAGAAGUUCUGGGCGAUGCAAAAUUUGUAUCGGUGACUUACCGCUUGUUCAAGCUGCCCACUAAAAAGUGUGAGAGUUCCCAAGUGAUAUAUAAUGGAGACAUACCCGGCUAUGAAGAGGUGUUCAACUUUGACUAUAAAACAAACUUCAAGACCAAUGAUAUCAACUCAGUAGACGAAAACAUAGCGACAGCCCUAAAGUCAUCCAGGUUUGGUGAUGAGUUUGAUUUUCAACCACCAGCAAAGAAAUCGUGUGGCACAUCUGCUUGUUGCGCAGACUCAAAGCCUGAAGAUCCAUUUGUUUACUUGGAAGAGAAGAAAAAGAAAGGGGAGGUGGUGGCACCGCCACCAUGUUGUACAGACAGCAAAUGUUGUUAAGGCCAUUUUCAGCAUAUGUGUUGUAACCCUUUCACCCCUAUGUAACUUAAGUAAACUCUACCAUGCAUUAAUCUGGACGAGUACAGUAUGGUCUACAGUGGUGAAAGGGUUAAUGGACAUUUAAAGUUGGAAACAUAACCUGCAAUAUUUAAAUCAGCAAGACAUUUGUAUCGUGAAUAGAUUCUGCUAAUGAUUAACAUAGACAGUAAUCACGCACCUGAUUGUUUAGUGAUCAUGAUGUGUCAACAAAACAAUUGGAGACACAAGAAGUGAAAGAUACUAAAUGAGGAUGGAACAGGUAUAUGGAUAAGGAGUUUGAGUUGAAGAGCGAAAGGUAAGAAAGGAUAGGGAUGAUUUUUGGGAUUCUUACAUCAUUAAAGCACACUGUUGAGACAUAAAAUAUUACAUGAUUUUCAAUUUCGUAGCAACUUUAUGAAAAGAGUCGUGGAAUUUUCAUUUCAGCGAGCUUCUGGUGAGCUACAAUUUUAAAUCGUAACAAAUCGAGAAAUGAAAACAAUUGUAAGAUUAUGUUGAAUGAGAAACUUUUCCUCAGGUUGAUGCCAUGAAGUUGUCCUACAUGUAGUUGUGUUGUCACGUUUUGAAUAAUGGAUCCAUGCAGCCAACCACAGCUCUACCAGCUGUUAUUAAUGUGUGCUUAUACCACAAAUUUUGUGAUGAAUGUUCUAAUAUUGAUCACAUGGUAUAUAUAAACAAGAAACAUGUAUUUCAUAUUACUAUUCAUUUCACUUAUUAAAAUCCUCACCGAUAACUUGCCUGAUGGAAAACCACGAAGUUGUUAACAGUAUAGUGUAGGGAAAGAGUUAAAAAGCGAGAAAUGGGGAGUGAUGGAUAGGGAUGCAGGAAAGUGAUAGAUGAGAAGUGAAAGACAAGAGAAGUGAAAGACAUGAGAAGUGAAAGACAUGAGAAGUGAAAGACAAGAGAAGUGAUCGAAAGAUACCAAAUGAGGAUUGAUUUAGCUAUGUAAUACUUGGUUGCCAUUAUCUGAUUAAGAAAAUGAUUCUAUAUGAAAUUUACAAUUCAUAGCCUUUUACAAUUUAUUCAUGACUGAUUCAGACAGAAGCUGAGUACUUUGGCUAGUGUAAUCACCCCUGUGCUGAUUGUGUAAAACAGCUUCUGUAUGGUGGUAAUUACAGACCACUUUAUAUUGGUAGUGCUUGUGUACCUAAAUCUGAGAUUAUCCAACCCGAGUUCCCAUUACCAUAUCAAUGUCAUUGUCAGGUCUCCAUAAUCUGUUGUUGUGUAUAAUCAAUAAUCUACAGAUUAAUGAAUGCUCCUUUCUGUUGAGUUAUACCCGUAUUGUCAUAUCAUUGAUAAACCAUAGUAUAAUAGGUACCGUAUUUAUCUGGCAAUAUUAAUGGGCCCAUGUCUGGUGAUAAACUCAUCUGUCGUAUCUAGUUUCACUUUAGUAUAAUGACAACAGCACUAUUUCAUAUUCCUGUUAUUCACAUGUAAGCUCGACCACUUGCUUGAGGCAGAUAUUUUGUGUUGGUCACCUGGGCUUAAUCUGGAUAAAUACGGUAAUGCAACCAAGUGGAAAAACAUGGGCUGAUUAAUAACCAUCAAAAUUAACAUUCUUACACCCGAUUAUCGAUCUUUUUCCUUUUAUUGUUAUUCAAAGCCAUCAAAGAUUAUAUCGGUGGAAGUAAUUAUGAUAGGUUUUUAUCACAUGAAAGAUUAGUGGAAAGAUAUAUUAUCCUUCUUCACGGUACGGAGGCAGGGUACAUUGUUCUCACGGGCUAGCCUUGGUCGAUAAUCAUGUAUAUGCGAAUAGUUCAGGAUUGAAUUUUUUUUUUUUUAGACAGUACAUGACGGUAUUAAACCCAAUAACAUAUUCAUUAUUUCACGGGUUUGUCUACAUGAUGGUUUCAGGACGUUAAGAAUCUGCAUUUUAAUUCAUAAUUUGUACGUUACAAACAAUGCAGAACAUCACUUUAUCUCUCUGGGUAGUACAUGGAUCUUUUGUCCUAUGGUGCUUUUCAUACAAACAUUUUACCAAAUAUUGGAAAAAAUAAAUCAUGAUUUCUAUAGCUACUAAGAUCAUUGUCUACUAUUUUUGUUAGGCGACAUAUUAAAAUCAGAAUCAAUCGGAAAUAUCGUCACAAUUUGAUUUUGACGUCAAUAGAAGAUUAACAGUUAGUGACCGAUUACUAAAUUGUAUGUCAGAAAAACAUCUGAACACAUUACGACAAAAAACCAUUACGCUAAGCAUUAACAUAGAUAUUCUGUUUUACUCCGUUUUACAUUAUAACGCCAUUGUUUCCAUGCCAUGAAUGAACAGAGUAAUAAAAAAAUAAAAAUUCUGAAUGUUCAUCCCCAAUUUCGACUUGUAAAUCAGCUGAAUUCCCUGUAAAUAACAGUUUUCACCAAACAUAAAAUCCAUCACACAGACAAGCUUAAAUUACGAUAUUUUACACGAAUACUUCAUGCAGACGUGUUUUAUUUUGCCGUUUCCCACCUCAAUUAAACAUUCUCAGAUUGGGAAUUCUCAGAUUGGGAAGUUUAAUUGGGAGUUCUCAAUGAUUAUUUAAAACAAAAUAGCAAAGCCAUAUAUACCAGGUUUUGCUUAUUCUGGAAAAUAUUUGGACACACCAAUGUAGAUCAAAUUACAUACACGUAAUAUAAUAUCUGUUGAUAGCUUAGCACUAGGAAACUUGUCCACACGUCAUCUCCAUAGCGAUAGGGCGUUGAUGCUGUAGACGUCGUAUAUCUCGUUCGUAGUUAAAGGGGUUUUAUACUGAAAAAAAACAUUGGCAGGGAAAACCGAUGCAUUUGUUGUAAAGUUCAGCUUAAUAUUGACAUUAAUUAAUUUCCAUAAAACCGCUCAACCAAAAUAUCUUGCCACUUUAGAUUUGCUAUAUGAUCAAUUUAAAAAUGAUUGUCACAAAUUGUUGGUUUCUAGGAUGCGUUUUUCUCUGACAGUGAUCGUUUUUUUGUGCAUAAAGAUAGUAUCGGGGAAUUGAGAAUAUUUGUUCAUUUUAUAUAUAAUACUGGCAAUUACAUUUCCUUUUAUUUACCAACUUGUAAUAUGAUACGAUUUACGUGUAUUUGUUAUUUUUUGGUAUUUAGAGACUUCAAAUCAUUGCAAUCAUUUAAUGUUGACAUUAGCGCAUUUUUAAUUGUUUAUAAUGAAUAUACAAUGAUAUAGGAAAUAAAAAGAAAAAUUUAUAAGAAAAUGUC